AGAGCGAACGCUGGCGGCAGGCCUAACACAUGCAAGUCGAGCGGCCGUAGCAAUACGGCAGCGGCAGACGGGAGAGUAACACGUGGGAACGCGCCCCUUCGGUUCGGAAUAACUCAGGGAAACUUGGGCUAAUACCGGAUACGCCCUUACGGGGAAAGAUUUAUUGCCGAAGGAACGGCCCGCGUCCGAUUAGCUUGUUGGUGAGGUAACGGCUCACCAAGGCGACGAUCGGUAGCUGGUCUGAGAGGAUGACCAGCCUCACUGGGACUGAGACACGGCCCAGACUCCUACGGGAGGCAGCAGUGGGGGAAUAUUGGACAAUGGGCGCAAGCCUGAUCCAGCCAUGCCGCGUGGGUGAUGAAGGCCCUAGGGUUGUAAAGCCCUUUCGGCGGGGAAGAGUAAUGACGGUACCCGCAGAAGAAGCCCCGGCUAACUUCGCGCCAGCAGCCGC
RNAcentral lists this ribosomal RNA (451 nucleotides) under uncultured bacterium. RNAcentral describes it as "SSU rRNA". It matches the Rfam family "Bacterial small subunit ribosomal RNA", at positions 26 to 518 of the family's 1533-position model. The record is from RNAcentral.